This 490-nucleotide ribosomal RNA is filed under the name uncultured bacterium. Its description in RNAcentral is "partial 16S ribosomal RNA". It matches the Rfam family "Bacterial small subunit ribosomal RNA", at positions 30 to 507 of the family's 1533-position model. The record is from RNAcentral.
AUUGAACGCUGGCGGCAGGCCUAACACAUGCAAGUCGAACGGUAACAGGAAACAGCUUGCUGUUUCGCUGACGAGUGGCGGACGGGUGAGUAAUGUCUGGGAAACUGCCUGAUGGAGGGGGAUAACUACUGGAAACGGUAGCUAAUACCGCAUAACGUCGCAAGACCAAAGAGGGGGACCCUCGGGCCUCUUGCCAUCGGCUGUGCCCAGAUGGGAUUAGCUUGUUGGUGGGGUAACGGCUCACCAAGGCGACGAUCCCUAGCUGGUCUGAGAGGAUGACCAGCCACACUGGAACUGAGACACGGUCCAGACUCCUACGGGAGGCAGCAGUGGGGAAUAUUGCACAAUGGGCGCAAGCCUGAUGCAGCCAUGCCGCGUGUAUGAAGAAGGCCUUCGGGUUGUAAAGUACUUUCAGCGGGGAGGAAGGGAGUAAAGUUAAUACCUUUGCUAAUUGACGUUACCCGCAGAAGAAGCACCGGCUAACUCCGUG